Molecule: long non-coding RNA, 2705 nt
Organism: Ficedula albicollis (Collared flycatcher)
Lineage: Eukaryota; Metazoa; Chordata; Aves; Passeriformes; Muscicapidae
Source: Ensembl
ACUUUUUCAGGUUAAACAUGUGAUUUGAAAUUUUGAUCUUUAAUAUUAAUGCUGACCACUAGCAUGACAGAUAUGAGUAAAAAGAAAGUUCCAAGUUUAAUUUUCCAAAACUGAAUUUACCCAAAGGGAUGGGAAAACACACAGAAAAGAUCUCUCCCUGGGCAUCAUCUCUCCCAUCAUGUUGGCUGCCUUCAGGAGUCUGCUUCAUUGCAGCAAAAUGAAACAGAUCAGCACCAUAGUUACUGUUUUUUAAGUGACUUCCAAGAAUUUUCUUAUCAGGAUUAAAAUGAAGCAAAUUACAUAAUGCUAUGGAGCCUGGAUCCAGCAACUCUUGAGGCUGCCAGAAACAUCAGCUGUGGAAUACAGAUGGGCUGUAUUAGUGUAAGUUGCCAGUCCUUUUUUUAUAAAGAUAACCUUCAAAAUGCCUUCAACCUCACUGCUGCUGAAAGUCUGUCAAGGUGAGCUCUCUGACAGAAAUCAGAUUAGUCACUGCUCUUGCCUUUACUCAGAGCAGGCUGUGAAUCUUCAUAAAGUAUAAACAAGAUCCAUGGCCUGAAUCACAAUCCAGCCCCAGCAUCCUCAUGAAGUGGAGGAUCUGCGUGCUGCUCUGAAGAAGUGCCACCACAGGUGAGGUGAACCCUGUGAGGAGAUUUCUGGUGGCCUGCAAAAGCAGAGAGAGUAGAGAUCCCACUAGAUGUCCCUCUGCCCCUUUAUGCACUUGCAGAGUGUUGGCAUUAUGAACUGUCCCAGCUGUGCUCAGGUGCUGGACCUGGAAAAUGGGAUGGAUAGAUCCCUGUUACAUGGAGCUUAAGGAAGAAGCAAUGCAUAAACAGCUGGGAGAUGCUUGGAUACUGCAGCAAUGGAAUUCAUAAACAUUCCUGAAUGCGCCCAGUGUCUGAUGGCUGCCCAUGCAAAUAACUACACAUUACUCAAUUCUGCCACACUUCUUGCUCUCAAGAAUCUUACAAGGAAGGAGGAAGAGCCUCUGGUCCUAUAGAGGACAUCCUGAUGGGCCCUGAAACUCUCCAUGUGAUGCAGCCCUUCUGGGCUGACUAAAAGGGCUUUGAUGACUGCUGAUAUUUUCACCAUUUAACAAAGGUUUUAUGAAAAUCUGUUUCAACUUCUUGGCUGAUUAUGAAGAAUUUGUUGUGGUUACAGUUUGCAUAUUUGGUGCCCCCAAAGAUGUUUGCAAAGACCUUGUGAGUGUGUCUGUGUGUGCGUGUGUGUGUUACUUGCUACAACACGAAGAACUUGAAAAGUAAAUACAGUGAGAAAAAUCAGUACAUGACAUUCCUCAACACAAGUCACUGGAAAAUUGUUUGGAGGUUGUGUGUCAUGUACACAGAGGUUUCCACAGGUGUUCCCUAUAAACCCAAUUGAAAGUCCUUGUUUUACAAAGGCUCCUGUACUACCAGUCUCCAGUCCCAUGUGCUCAGACCCUCACAGUGGCAUGAGGCCAAUCAGGAUAUUUAUUUCACUACCAAAUUUUAGAGGAUGACUGAAUCAGUCCCAAAGUGCAGAGGCAUCUAAACCCCAUUGAAAAUACUGACAAUUAGACACUUAACCACUCAAAAGAAUUGGGUGUUUGGACAUUGUAUCGGAUGGAAGGGGGCACAAUAUUCACAUUCACAAACAGUAAAUUACAAAUUAUAGCUGACAUGGUUUUACCCUAGAAUUGGGAAUAAAUUAAUUUGCAAACUAGCAGGGACAAAACCCCCAAAUUAAUAAAUGAUGUUUGAAUCAGAUACAGUUACAGAACCAGGGUGAGGGAAGGGAUUCUGCCCCUCUGCCCCACUGUUGAGACCCCCCUGCAGGGCUGCACCCAGCCUGGGACAGCACAGGAAGGACAGGGAGCUGCUGGAGCCAGGGGACACCAAGGGAUCAGAGGGAUGGAGCAGCUCUGCUGGGAGGAAAGGCUGAGGGAAUUGGGGUUGUUCACCUGGAGAGGAGAAGGCUUUGGGGUGACCUCACUGUGGCCUUGCAGUGCCUGAAGGGAGCCACAGGAAAGAUGGAGAGAGACUCUUGACAAGGGCCUGGAGUGACAGGACAAGGGAGAAUGGCUCCAAAGUGAGACAGUGAGUAUAGAUUGGAUAUUGGGAAGAAAUUUUUCCCUGUGAGGGUGGUGAAGCUGUGGCACAGGUUUUCCAGAGAAACAACCAUCUUUUCAACAUGAUGCAGGCUUUAGACAAGAUGUUUUCUAUGAUAAUCAUCGCUUAUCUAAUUAAUUGCUUAAGGGACCCAUCUCUUGCUGGCAAUUUGAAAUCACCUGUUGUGCUUUCAAUAUCUGUUGAAAAAUAUUUGUAAGUGAACACAGUGCCAUUAUGAAAACUAAAUAACUUGCCUACUAAUACUUCAAACAAGGCUGUGUUACAUGCACUGUUCAUCUGUGGAAAAGCAGACUGAGGCCAGAGCUCACAGAAAUUCUGCAGUUUCCUCACAAGGGGAAGAGGAGGGGCAGGCACUGAUCAUUGCUCUGUGUGACAGGGACAGGACCCAGGGAACAGCUGGAGCUGUGUCAGGGCAGGGUUAGGGUGGGUAUCAGGAAAAGGUAUUGCUCUGUGUGACAGGGACAGGACCCAGGGAGGGGGGGGGGGGGGGGGGGGGGGGGGGGGGGGGGGGGGGGGGGGGGGGGGGGGGGGGGGGGGGGGGGGGGGGGGGGGGGGGGGGUAUCAGGAAAAGGUUCUUCCCCCAGAGGGUGGUGGACA